Molecule: long non-coding RNA, 201 nt
Filed under: Homo sapiens (human)
Lineage: Eukaryota; Metazoa; Chordata; Mammalia; Primates; Hominidae
Description: HSALNT0213511
Source: RNAcentral
CAGGAGGAUGCUGAUGCAUUUCGAUCCUAUUGCCUGGAAGCUGAUGACUGGAACCCAAAGCGGGAUAAUGUGUGUGGAGCAUCUUCCACUCUAAAGAGAGGUGAAAACCACUGUGUACCUCCUGGGGCUUCAACAGCCUCCAGAACCAGCUCUCCACUCCCACCAUUGCCAGAAACCCUCCUCCUUUCUAUAAGCGGAUGA